Molecule: ribosomal RNA, 307 nt
Filed under: uncultured soil bacterium
Lineage: Bacteria
Description: bacterial SSU rRNA
Rfam family: Bacterial small subunit ribosomal RNA
Source: RNAcentral
AGAUUGAACGCUGGCGGCAUGCCUAACACAUGCAAGUCGAACGGGAGUAGCAAUACUCUAGUGGCGGACGGGUGAGGAAUACGUAGGAAUUUGCCCUUAAGUGGGGGAUAACCCGGGGAAACCCGGAUUAAUACCGCAUGACCUCGAAAGAGCAAAGUGGGGGAUCGCAAGACCUCACGCUUUUGGAGAAGCCUGCGUCGGAUUAGCUAGUUGGUGAGGUAAUGGCUCACCAAGGCGACGAUCCGUAACUGGUCUGAGAGGAUGAUCAGUCACACCGGAACUGAGACACGGUCCGGACUCCUACGGG